UACGUAGGGUGCGAGCGUUAAUCGGAAUUACUGGGCGUAAAGCGUGCGCAGGCGGCUUCGCAAGUCAGGCGUGAAAUCCCCGGGCUUAACCUGGGAAUGGCGUCUGAAACUACGGAGCUGGAGUGUGGCAGAGGGAGGUAGAAUUCCACGUGUAGCGGUGAAAUGCGUAGAUAUGUGGAGGAACACCGGUGGCGAAGGCGGCAUCCUGGACCAAUUCUGACGCUGAGGAGCGAAAGCCAGGGGAGCAAACGGG
This 253-nucleotide ribosomal RNA is filed under the name uncultured bacterium. RNAcentral's name for it is "partial 16S ribosomal RNA". It matches the Rfam family "Bacterial small subunit ribosomal RNA", at positions 524 to 776 of the family's 1533-position model. The record is from RNAcentral.